Molecule: small RNA, 577 nt
Filed under: Pan troglodytes (chimpanzee)
Lineage: Eukaryota; Metazoa; Chordata; Mammalia; Primates; Hominidae
Description: retained intron
Source: RNAcentral
GCCUCGUGUCCGCGCAUCACCCCGUGGCUGGGGGUUAGCUAGGGGAGGGCGGGAAGGGCAGAGGACGCGGUGGCUGGAGGACGUGUAACCUUGCAAGAGGCGGGAGGCGGGGGGCAGAGGUGAUUGACCCCCGCCCCCCGCCCGUGGGACCAAGAAAGGGAUGUGACAGGCGAGGACGAAUGGGACCUCAGGGGCUGGACUGGAGAGUGGGGUACAGGGAUGUGAGGAGGACCCCGCGAGUCCGCGGUGGGAUCCCAAUAGAGCUGUGGCCAAGGAGGAGGGGAGCAGCGGGAAGGCUGUGGGCACUCCUGUGUGAGGGAAAGCUACAGGCUCCUGCAGGUCCGAGAUCGGCCGAAAUCAGGCACCCCAAGGAAAGCCCUGCUCUGGCCACAUGGUGUCCCCUCAGAAGACUCCACCAGCCGAUGAGGCUGCUGUCAUUUGUGGUGUUGGCUCUAUUUGCUGUCACUCAAGCAGAGGAAGGAGCCAGGCUUUUGGCUUCCAAAUCACUGCUGAACAGAUACGCCGUGGAGGGACGAGACCUGACCUUGCAGUACAACAUCUACAAUGUUGGCUCAAG